UACGUAGGCAGCGAGCGUUGUUCGGAAUUACUGGGCGUAAAGAGUGUGUAGGCGGUGCUCCCAGUCUGUUGUGAAAUCUCCCGGCUUAACUGGGAGGGUGCAGCGGAAACUAGAGUGCUAGAGGGUGGGAGAGGUAAGCGGAAUUCCUGGUGUAGCGGUGAAAUGCGUAGAUAUCAGGAGGAACACCAGUGGCGAAGGCGGCCUUCUGGCUCGAUACUGACGCUGUAGCGCGAAAGCGUGGGGAGCGAACGGG
This 253-nucleotide ribosomal RNA is filed under the name uncultured bacterium. RNAcentral's name for it is "partial 16S ribosomal RNA". It matches the Rfam family "Bacterial small subunit ribosomal RNA", at positions 524 to 776 of the family's 1533-position model. The record is from RNAcentral.